This 109-nucleotide long non-coding RNA is filed under the name Zonotrichia albicollis (white-throated sparrow). Its description in RNAcentral is "lncRNA (ENSZALG00000009218.1)". The record is from RNAcentral. Lineage: Eukaryota; Metazoa; Chordata; Aves; Passeriformes; Passerellidae.
AUUCCAGGUGGAUUUUAGAGCAGGAUGUUCCCAGCUCCAAAUUCCAGGUGGAUUUUAGAGCAGGAUGUUCCCAGCUCCAAAUUCCAGGUGGAUGUUGGACAGGAUUCCA